This is a long non-coding RNA of Amphiprion ocellaris (clown anemonefish), 2815 nucleotides long. RefSeq lists it as uncharacterized. Lineage: Eukaryota; Metazoa; Chordata; Actinopteri; Pomacentridae. The record is from RefSeq and is a predicted model, not a curated record. The transcript has 3 exons.
AGAGACAAGCCGAGUGUGCACAAUAUUCAUUCAAACUGACAGAGGCUGUGUGUGUCCUGGGUUGCACUUCCAUCGCUGCUCAGUCUCCCUCGCCUCUCCAGAACCAGACAGUCUGCAGUUUAAAGCAAGAAGACACCGGAGAGGAGGAAAGAAAGGGAAAGAGUGUGCUAAACGACACACAGGGUUGAAGAGGAACAGGAAAAGGGAGGAGGAGGGAGGAGGAGGAGGGAGGAAGUGGGGAGAAGAGUAGGGGGAUUUGACGAAGAGGUGGCGAGUGAAAGAAGAGUACGGAGGAGGAAGAAUCAGAGAGUGGAGGCUGACUGGGAGGGGUGAACAAGGAGGUGUAGAGACAGAGGAAUGCAGAGAAAGAAGGGACGCUUCUGCAGAAGAUUAUGAAGAAGCUGCAUCGAUGUGAACACUCUCGAGUUGUCAUGGUGUCAUGGAAAAUGUAGCGUGGGUGAUGUGUGUUUGUGUAAUGAAGGUGGAUGUGCCCUAAAGAAGAACUCGGCUUAUUUUGAGGUGCGCAUAAUUAUGAGGCAGCUGCAUUACCUCGGGUUAAACAGACCCGUGAAGAGUCAAAAAUAAAUGCUUGGAGAAGAAAAAGCACAAAUUAACUGCAAAAGCCUUGAGAAAAAUGAAGCUACCAGGAAGCCAUUAUCCUUCAGUGCCACGAUAUUCGAGAACUGCAGGAUACCUGGAGUGUCCAGAAGUACAAGAUGUCAAGUUGAAAUGUCAAAAUUGGGCCAAGAAACACCUGAAAACUGAAGGUUUUAAAGACAGAUAAAAUGAGAAUGACUCUUGAUGGAACAGAUGGAUGGCUGGAUCACUGAUGGACUUACUUUAUGCCAGGUGACAACAAAACAGAGGAAAGGUGCUGGUAUGAGCUGGUAUCAUAAACAAUGAGAUGGUUUGAUCUUUUCAGGUUGUAGAAAGACUGGAAUAUAUGGAAUAUAUACUGCCCAGCCAAAAAGAAAAUUUCACUCUCUAACAUUUCAUUGGACCGCCUUUAGCUUUGAGUACGACACUCAUUCACUGUAGCAUCAUUUCCAUAAUCUUCUGCCAUGUCACAGCAUUUAUUUCUGUCCAGAGAUGCAUUCAUUUUCUACCAAGAUCACAGUCUUCUCCAGAACAUCCCAAAGGUUCUCAGUGGUUCUGAGGUUUGGACUCUGUGGAGGACAAUCCAUCUCAUGCUCCCUGAUCCACUCAUUCUCAAUGUGACCCCAUGAAUCCUGGCAUCAUCAUCUAGGAACAUGAAGAAAACCUCCACUGAUGUAAAGACCUGGUCAUUCAGUAUCUUCAGGUAUCAGCUCACCUCAUUCUUUGGGAUCAUAACAUUGGUGAACCUGACCAACCCCAGAUCAUAACCCUAACCCCCACAGGCUGGUAGACACUAGCCAUGAUGAGGGCAUCACUUCAUCUGCCUCUCUUCUUACCCUGAUGCCCCCAUCACUCUGGAACAGGGUAAAUCUGGACUCAUCAGACCACAUGACCUUCUUCCAUUGAUCCAGAGUCCAAUCUUUAUGCUCCACAGCAAACUGAAGCCUUUUUUUCUGAUCAUCCUCACUGAUCAGUGGUUUUCUUAGAGCUACAGCUGUUUAGUCCGAAUCCUUUGAGUUCCCUUCAUGUGGAAAUGUUCUUACUUUCACUAUUAAACAGCCGUGAGUUCCACUGUUGGUUUAAUUCGAUCAUCUAAGAGUUUGUUCCUGGAAAUUGAUGGUUCUCCACUAUCCUUCAGGUUUUAAUGAUGCGUUGGACGGUUCUUAACCUGAUUUUAGUAGUUUCAUCUCCUUAGUUGUUUUCUUUGCUUGAUGCAGGCCAAUAAUUUGACCCUUCUGAGACAGAUUAACAUCCUUUCCAUGACCACAGGAUAUGUCUUCCAACAUGGUUGUUGAAGAAAUGAGAAGCUCCUCACUGCACCAGCUAGAGUUAAAGAAGUUGUUUCAUCACUGCAGUAAUUAUCCAAUGGAAGGAUCUGAACUAUUGAUCAGUUAAAUCCAGGUGGCGACUGUUUUUUUGGCCGGGCAGUGUACUUUCCUCAAACAGUGGUACAGAAAUUAGUCCGCAAUAUUAAAGAAGGCCACAAUCUUCACAUGCAUCUCAGCACUCCACUCUUCAGUUCACCUGCAAAGGUCUCAAAGUUGGCCAAAUAUAUGACCUAGCCCCUUCCUCACCUGAGAACUUGUGGGACCUUCUCAGAUGACAAAUUUACAGUGAGGAAAGACAAUACAGAUAUCUGAACACCAUUUUGGAGGCUGAGGUUGCUGCUUCAGGGUAAUUUGAUUUAGAACAGAUCAAGAAACUGUCCGAGGAUGGCACGCUCAUGGCAGGUAUUCAGAAGAAGGUGGGCUGAACUGGUCACGAAACAUUCUUUGAAAGGCUAAAACUAGACACUUAAAUUUAAAAAAAUGAGAAUAAACAGGCGAGUUGAGAAGUAAUUUAGUUGCAUUUAACCUUCAGAAACACAGAGCUCACAUUUCCUCUGUUAAACAUUCAGGUUUUAGACUCAGUAACAUUUUUGAUUUACUGAGAGAAUUCAGCAAAUUCAUCCCGAUGAAAGCAAUUUCCCUAAUAAUUCUGCACAAAGUGUAUCAUGAUGCAAGCAUUUUUGCAUUUUUUGUGAGUGUUUCCAUUUAUAAUCAUCCUUUGAAAAAAUAUCUGCAACACUCCAAAUAAUAUUCGUAAGUUUAACCUCUUACCACCAUGAGAUGAUUUGUAGAUAAAUCAAAAAUUGCAACGCAAAUAAUUCCCUCAAGGUCUUGAUUUUACACAUUUUACACAUAUAAUUGUCAUAUUAACCUCACAAAUAAAACUAUCC